UAUAGCCUGGUUUUCUGCGAAAUCUGUUUUAGCAAAUUAUUUAUUUUAUUAUUAGUAGGUAUAGCACUGAAUAUUUUUUUUUUCAAUAGAGGGAGUAUUAAUUUACUUAUCUAGAAUAUUUAAUCUCAAAAUGGCUAAUAAGUUAGGUAAAUAAUCGGACUUUUUGCGAUAAGGUAUAAAGUCUAAAGGGAAACAGCCCAAAACAGUAAAAAAAAAAGUAGGGCUCCCCAAUUAUUAUUAAGGUGAAAAUUCCAAGGUAAUUAUUUUUUGAC
RNAcentral lists this ribosomal RNA (272 nucleotides) under Pneumocystis carinii f. sp. suis. Its description in RNAcentral is "partial 16S ribosomal RNA". The record is from RNAcentral. Lineage: Eukaryota; Fungi; Ascomycota; Pneumocystomycetes; Pneumocystales; Pneumocystaceae.